CAGAAAAUCUAUCCAUCUGGUAGCGGCCAAC
Molecule: non-coding RNA, 31 nt
Filed under: Homo sapiens (human)
Lineage: Eukaryota; Metazoa; Chordata; Mammalia; Primates; Hominidae
Source: RNAcentral